AGUCGAACGAUUAAAGCUCCCUUCGGGGAGUGCAUAAAGUGGCGCACGGGUGAGUAACACGUAAGUAAUCUACCCUCGGGUGGGGAAUAACGUUCGGAAACGGACGCUAAUACCGCAUAAUGCAGCGGCACCGCAAGGUGACAGUUGUUAAAGAUUUAUUGCCUGGGGAGGAGCUUGCGGCAGAUUAGCUUGUUGGUAAGGUAACGGCUUACCAAGGCGACGAUCUGUAUCCGGUCUAAGAGGACGGUCGGACACACUGACACUGAAUAACGGGUCAGACUCCUACGGGAGGCAGCAGUCGGGAAUUUUGGGCAAUGGGGGAAACCCUGACCCAGCAACGCCGCGUGAAGGAUGAAGUAUUUCGGUAUGUAAACUUCGAAAGAAUAGGAAGAAUUAAUGACGGUACUAUUUAUAAGGUCCGGCUAACUACGUGCCAGCAGCCGCGGUAAUACGUAGGGACCAAGCGUUGUUCGGAUUUACUGGGCGUAAAGGGCGCGUAGGCGGCGCGGUAAGUCACUUGUGAAAUCUCUGAGCUUAACUCAGAACGGCCAAGUGAUACUGCAGUGCUAGAGUGUGGAAGGGGCAAUCGGAAUUCUUGGUGUAGCGGUGAAAUGCGUAGAUAUCAAGAGGAACACCUGAGGUGAAGACGGGUCGCUGGGCCAACACUGACGCUGAUGCGCGAAAGCCAGGGGAGCAAACGGGAUUAGAUACCCCGGUAGUCCUGGCCCUAAACGAUGAAUACUUGGUGUCUGGAGUUUUAAUGCUCCGGGUGCCGUCGCUAACGUUUUUAGUAUUCCGCCUGGGGAGUACGCUCGCAAGAGUGAAACUCAAAGGAAUUGAC
Molecule: ribosomal RNA, 841 nt
Filed under: uncultured Bacillota bacterium
Lineage: Bacteria; Bacillati; Bacillota
Description: bacterial SSU rRNA
Rfam family: Bacterial small subunit ribosomal RNA
Source: RNAcentral